UCGUACUUGAAACGAACUUUUUCUCCCGGUUUUGGAAUUAAAAUCUCCAAUCUGCCUCGUUCUUUUUUGGCUUUCUGUACAUUAACUAUUCCUCUAGUUGAUGUAACAAUUUGGAAUCUCAUUAAAAAUACCUAGUUCAAUUCGGUGUCUAAUAUUUAUACAUCCUAAUGUGAUACAUAUAAUUUUUACUGAAUAAAGAAGACGAAUUCUUACUCUUCAGUUAUCUAGAAAUAACUUAGUUUGUUCUAUAUCGCAAUUCGGAAAUGGAAGUUUGAAUAGCUUCAUGUGAAGGAAUUGCAAUUGUCUUCGAAUCAAAAUGAAUGAAUUAAAGGCAGUAAUCGGUUAGAAUAAGGCUAGGAAAAACCUUUCAGAAAUAGAAUUGAAUUAAGCUACUAAGCAUUUGAGAUAAAAAAAAAUCGUACUAAAUUAAGCUAUUUUGAACUUACUUGAAAUUAUUCAGAUAAAUUUCGUAUUGCAUUUUAUACUUAAGUAUAUAAAAAAAUUAUCUUCAUAACACUUAAAAAUAUGAAAUGAGUUAAGGCAAAGAUGUUUUUUCUGAAAUCAAAUUUGUUUAUUGUAAAGAAAAACAAAAGAGGAAUAAUCUCUGUAGUCCAUUCCCUUUUAAAAUUUAAAAAUUACUAACAGUUGCCCGCUCAAAUGUUUUUAUCUAUUGGAAACUUUCUAAAAUGCAUUAAAAUCUGCACAUUUAAUGUGGAAGAAAUAUUCAUAAUCUUUGAAUAUUCCACUCGAGUAGUUUCUAAGCGACGAAAAUGCUAUAAUCAUGUGGAUUUUACAUGGUACAGUCUAAUAUGACAGAGGAAACAGUGGCAGUUGCUCUCUUGUGCCCUCUUCUAUAAAUGAACAGAAUGUUUAAUGCAAAUUUGACAAGUCUUUUGUGUAAGACUAUCCAGUGGGAAACGUUUAAAUCAAAUAUCUGUAAUACUAGAAAGUUUCUGUUGAAUUCACUGGCCUUUUCACUCAUCAGUGAAAUACGUCAUAGAAGUCAUCAAUUUAACAAAAUCGCCUGCCGUUGUUGGAGCUGUUCACUGCAAAGAACACUUUUUAUGCUGUUCGCUUGAAACAGUGGCCAACUCCUGUAAGCAAAGCGACCGCCUUUUCUCUUGACGAAAAUAUGGAUGGCAGCUAUCUGGAUGGCCACGAAAUUUUUUCUUUCGUACAGAAGUAAUAUCGGCAUUGACAGACAGUACAACAUGGCCUAUAUCCAUGUCAUUUUGCUUGAUAAAGGCACUACGUCAACCACCAGUAGUGUUGCUUUCUGUUCCAUGCACUUGAUUGUCCACCCCAAAUAUGCUGGAUGCGAGGAAGUAUUCCUUACAGGUGAUGUUGAAGGUGAUGAGACAAUUCAAGGGCGCAGUAAGUUCGCUAUUUAUAUUAACAAAACGGCAUGGAAUUUGAAAACCAUUAAUUGGUUCAUCUAGAAAUUAAAUUACUGGAGGCUGCAAAGAGAUGCGAAACAUAAUUAUCUUAAAAUAUUUAUUGAAACAGAUGCAGCCCUAUUGGCUACUAACCAUAAUGAAUUACCGGAAUUCAAACGCCUGUCAUACGCGUUUCUGAGUAUAGGAUUCAAAGUAAUUGAACGUCUUAGAAUGGAAUCACCCAGUGACCCUCGUUAUGAGGGAAAUACUCCAUGGCCAGGAACCGUUUGAAACUAGAUUCCAGCAUCUACGCAGGACAAAAAUGCUUCUAGGUAAUUCUGUUGUCUCUGCAUGGCUUGUGGUAAACUUUCUAGAAUGACCAAAUUUAUUAAGUUAAAUGAAUGCCCUUUCAGUUCCAGCCAUAAAGUAUCUACAUAUGUGUAGUAGGUAUCUAGAUGUCCUGGAAAGAACGUCAUUGAAGUAAUAUCGGUAUUCUUCUGUCAGACAACUCAUGGCCGUUGAUGCUACUUUUCCGGUUAAAAAGUAUGUCAUCACCAUCGAUAAUACGCUUUUCAAGGUCCAAAAACGUCUUCACUAGAAAGCAGUUCUUUAUACGGGGAGGAUAUUCCCUUCAGAUGAGUUCGAAGUACAUGGAAUUCAAAGGCAUGAUCUAAUCUAUUCCGAUUCAGAUGUUGACUUGUUUUGUUCGAAGUGAUCCUGCCACAACAUGCAGUAUCUGAAGCUUCUAUCAAGUGCAAACUAGAAUUCGGAGCCACUACAGUUAAAAUGUUGAUUUCCGGACAAAUGUAGUUGGUUAGUAAAAUUAUAAAUGUUACACCAAAUCCAAAAUGUAUAUUUUCUAUCAAAAAUCAUCAGUUUGCAUAGUGGUGAAAUUGUGAUUACUAAUGUAAUGGCAAAUUAUUUGAAAAUAUCAAUAUAUCUUUGAAGUAUUUCAUGAUCCCAUUUUAAGGCUAUGACAAUGAAUCUUACAUUUUUGGGGAUAUUUUUUUAAAAUUGGGAAAGCUUGAAGUGCAUGUAAUUAUCAUUCCAAACAAAUGUUUGGCAUAUCAAUCGAUAUUUCAUCUAAAUUGUUUGAAAUUUUCAUAUAUCUACUUAAAACGACUAAAAUAUUGGUUUGCAUUCAUUUUCUUUAAACGUAGUGCUUGCUUUGUACUUUGAGAAACAAGCUAUUCUGAGACAAUCGAUAUCGAUAAACAUGUUUCAUGUAGAUAAAUUAAAAUGUAAUAGAUGAUUUCUAGGAAAAUCAAAUAAGUCAAAUUUCCAACAAAACUAAAAAUUUACUGCCACAGAACGAAUUUUUGAAAUAAAAAUUUGCAUAUGCAUUCCUCCCUUAUUGUCAACGGAUAAUCCAUCUUUAUGUUAUGAGGUGAUUUGUUACGAUUGCUUUUCAUCACCGCUUACUGUAACACAAUUUGAAAAAUUGAAUUUUAUUGUUAUGAAACGAUUCAUUGUAGUUUCUUCACAUCAGCAUAAGGGCUUGUAAUAUACUUCUCAAUUUAUCUACAAUUUUAUAAAAAUGGUAGUCAUUUGUUUUUAUUUUGUACUGAAUGUUAAUGAUCUCGUAACUAAUUUCAUUAUUGUCGAUUUCUAGAAAGUAACUUAAUAUUAUAAUGAUGAUGAUGAAAUAAGUGAUCAAAUAUCUGAAUAUAUUUGCUAUAAUUAUCUGUGUAUAGUUCUAAUAUGAAGGGAUUUUGCAACUCGUAAUUAUCUGAACAUUCUUUUUUGAAAUACUGGUCUUAAUUAGGGAAAAAUGUUUUAUGCUAAUUUUCGGUAGUUGGCCCCGAAAUCUCUGAAAAUAUUUUAAAUAUAUAUUGCUAAGCUGCAACUUGGAGUUUUUGCACAUGAAAUGGUUCUAUGCUUUGAAAAUUAUAUUUUAUGCUUGAAUUUUAAAUUUGUUUGAUGGUUGGAACUGUAAUUUUAAAAUAGUUUUUUUCUUUUUUUUUUGCUCCUCGUUAAGUUUUACAUCCGAAAAUGACAUAAAAUUUAUAGUAUUAAUGAUUCCUAAAUCCAAAUUUAAUAGUACAUGGUAUCGAUACUCAUUAAUUUAAAUUUAAAUUUAACUUUAAUAUUUCUGAAAUUUUACCGU
This is an RNA transcript of Argiope bruennichi, 3483 nucleotides long. RefSeq lists it as uncharacterized. The transcript has 4 exons. NCBI's taxonomy places the organism in Eukaryota, Metazoa, Arthropoda, Arachnida, Araneae, Araneidae. The record is from RefSeq and is a predicted model, not a curated record.